RNAcentral lists this ribosomal RNA (274 nucleotides) under uncultured bacterium. RNAcentral describes it as "partial 16S ribosomal RNA". It matches the Rfam family "Bacterial small subunit ribosomal RNA", at positions 524 to 794 of the family's 1533-position model. The record is from RNAcentral.
UACAGAGACCUCAAGCGUUAUCCGGAAUUAUUGGGCGUAAAGCGUUCCGAUCGGUGGUUUUAUAAGCCAGAGGUUAAAUCUCCAAGCUCAACUUGGAAUACGCCUUUGGAACUGUAAGACUCGAGGGGCAAAGAAGAAGCUGGAACCAGCGGUGUAGUAGUGAAAUGCGUUGAUAUCGCUGGGAACACCAAUAGCGAAGGCAGGCUUCUAGGUGCCACCUGACACUGCUAGGACGAAAGCGUGGGGAGCGAAUGGGAUUAGAAACCCUGGUAGU